GACGAACGCUGGCGGCGUGCUUAACACAUGCAAGUCGAACGGAAAGGCCUAGCUUUCUGGUUCUUCAUGUGGCGAACGGGGGAGUAACACGUGGGGGUACUCCCCCUGACUUUGGGAUAAGCCUGUUAAACAGGGUAUAUAACCGGAUAUUACUUUUUCUUUUCCUGGGGAUUUGUGGAAAGCUGUCGCGGUUGGGGAUGGGCCCGGGGCCUACCAGCUUGUUGGUGGGGUAAUGGCCUACCAAGGCGACGACGGGUGGCCAACCUGAGAGGGUGAUCGGCCACACUGGGACUGAGACACGGCCCAGACUCCUACGGGAGGCAGCAGUGGAGAAUAUUGCACAAUAGGCGCAAGCCUGAUGCAGCGACGCCGCGUGAGGGAUGACGGCCUUCGGGUUGUAAACCUCUUUCAGCUCCGACGAAGCGCAAGUGACGGUAGGAGCAGAAGAAGCACCGGCUAACUACGUG
RNAcentral lists this ribosomal RNA (467 nucleotides) under uncultured bacterium. RNAcentral describes it as "partial 16S ribosomal RNA". It matches the Rfam family "Bacterial small subunit ribosomal RNA", at positions 28 to 507 of the family's 1533-position model. The record is from RNAcentral.